This 557-nucleotide ribosomal RNA is filed under the name Lactobacillus sp. Lact03. RNAcentral's name for it is "bacterial SSU rRNA". It matches the Rfam family "Bacterial small subunit ribosomal RNA", at positions 102 to 645 of the family's 1533-position model. Lineage: Bacteria; Bacillati; Bacillota; Bacilli; Lactobacillales; Lactobacillaceae. The record is from RNAcentral.
ACUGGUGAGUAACACGUGGGAAACCUGCCCAGAAGCGGGGGAUAACACCUGGAAACAGAUGCUAAUACCGCAUAACAACUUGGACCGCAUGGUCCGAGCUUGAAAGAUGGCUUCGGCUAUCACUUUUGGAUGGUCCCGCGGCGUAUUAGCUAGAUGGUGGGGUAACGGCUCACCAUGGCAAUGAUACGUAGCCGACCUGAGAGGGUAAUCGGCCACAUUGGGACUGAGACACGGCCCAAACUCCUACGGGAGGCAGCAGUAGGGAAUCUUCCACAAUGGACGAAAGUCUGAUGGAGCAACGCCGCGUGAGUGAAGAAGGGUUUCGGCUCGUAAAACUCUGUUGUUAAAGAAGAACAUAUCUGAGAGUAACUGUUCAGGUAUUGACGGUAUUUAACCAGAAAGCCACGGCUAACUACGUGCCAGCAGCCGCGGUAAUACGUACGUGGCAAGCGUUGUCCGGAUUUAUUGGGCGUAAAGCGAGCGCAGGCGGUUUUUUAAGUCUGAUGUGAAAGCCUUCUGCUCAACCGAAGAAGUGCAUCGGAAACUGGGAAACUUGA